UUUGGUUUGAGAGAGGAUACGGUAUAUUUAAUAUUGUAAAGUAAUAUUAUGGCUCAAAAUACAAAAUUUUACGUCAGCUUAUAAAAAUUAUAGAUAUAAUAUAAAAGUUUAAUAUUAAUAUUAAUAAAAAAGAAAAAAAUUUAAAAAAACUGUGAGAAACUACGUCAAAACUGUGUUCAUUAUUAUAUUCAUCCGAAUUUAUAAGGUUACGAUAUUGUGCGAGCGCGAUAUCUGUCAAAUAACACGAGACGCUCAUCAGUCCCAAGUCACGCUCGUUCGUCGUUCGUAUCGGUAAGUAUUGUAUAGGUGGGCAAGUAGGUACAGACAUAUACGCCGCAGCAGUCAGUGUGUCAUAAUAUAACGUGCGCGCACGCCUCGGGGCUUUCGAUAAUUACUGUUGCUGUCGCGAUUGCAGUUGCUAUCGGUGGUAUAGCCAUUGCAGUCCGUGUCCGUCGCUCUUCCUCCUACGCCAAAGCGGAACACGCCGUCUCUUUUAUGUACACUUGUAGACGGCCGGUCACGCCACGCGAUUCUUGCACACGCUUCGUAGCCGGGGUUAUUAUGCAGAUUAUUAUUAUAUUGUUGACGGUUAUGCGGGGCCGUCAAUCGGCGGCAAGACUUAACCCCGAUUUCAAGCACACGUUAUUGUACUAUCCAUUGGACGUGGACGCUUUAUGAAGGCAAAAUUAAAAAAAAUACGUGAAAAUACUCAUCGCGCGAUGUCGUGUUAGAAACACGUAGUUUGUAUGGCGAAAGUAUUCAUAAGUAUAUAUUUAUGUAUACUUGUACUGCUGCAGAAUACAUGCAAGUACAACACCAAUCAUUAACCAACUCAUAAAAAAUUAAGUUUUGGUUCAUCGAGUCUGAUGACCGGUUAGCGAUACGACUAAUACAGCACCGCGACGACGUAAAAGAGCAGUAUAAUACCUUGUGAUUUGACACAGUUUUUCUUGCUCUUGUGUCUUGUGGAAAAUAAGUUUGUUUGUUUACUACAAUAUAAUAUGUAUAUUAUAUUAUAUAAGUAUAGAACAAGGAAAUGUGUAUUAUAAUAUGAUAAGAUUAUUUACAACUUGUUAUCUUAUUUUUAAAUUAUUAAUAAAAUUGUUAAAUUACUACUUUUUAUG
Aphis gossypii (cotton aphid) is the source of this 1124-nucleotide long non-coding RNA. RefSeq lists it as uncharacterized. NCBI's taxonomy places the organism in Eukaryota, Metazoa, Arthropoda, Insecta, Hemiptera, Aphididae. The transcript has 3 exons. The record is from RefSeq and is a predicted model, not a curated record.